RNAcentral lists this ribosomal RNA (630 nucleotides) under uncultured delta proteobacterium. RNAcentral describes it as "bacterial SSU rRNA". It matches the Rfam family "Bacterial small subunit ribosomal RNA", at positions 53 to 665 of the family's 1533-position model. Lineage: Bacteria; Deltaproteobacteria. The record is from RNAcentral.
ACAUGCAAGUCGAGCGCGAACGGAGCAAUCCUAGUAGAGCGGCGCACGGGUGCGUAACACGUGGGUAAUCUGCCUCGAAGCCCGGGAUAACCUGCCGAAAGGCAAGCUAAUACCGGAUAAGCCUCCGGGUUCCUCGGAACCUGAAGGAAAAGGUGGCCUCUAUUUAUAAGCUAUCACUUCGAGAUGAGCCCGCGGCCCAUCAGCUAGUUGGCGGGGUAACGGCCCACCAAGGCUACGACGGGUAGCUGGUCUGAGAGGACGAUCAGCCACACUGGAACUGAGACACGGUCCAGACUCCUACGGGAGGCAGCAGUGGGGAAUUUUGCGCAAUGGGCGAAAGCCUGACGCAGCAACGCCGCGUGUGUGAUGAAGGUCUUCGGAUCGUAAAGCACUUUCGACCGGGAAGAAACGCUGUUGGCUAACAUCCAGCAGCCUGACGGUACCGGGAGAAGAAGCACCGGCUAACUCUGUGCCAGCAGCCGCGGUAAUACAGAGGGUGCAAGCGUUGUUCGGAAUUAUUGGGCGUAAAGCGCGUGUAGGCGGCUUAGCAAGUCGGGUGUGAAAGCCCUCGGCUCAACCGAGGAAGUGCGCCCGAAACUGCUGAGCUUGAGUACCGGAGAGGAUGGCGGA